UGAUGUGUAAUUAUAUCUUUUUAUGGAAAAUUCUCUCUGCUUAUCUGAUCAUUACAGAAUUCAUAAGUUUCUGAACCUCAGAUCAAGAAGGUUUUAGAAGCUGAGGACCCAUGACUGAAUGCCUUGUUCCUGUUGCAUUGUCUCCAAUGCGUGCAUUUUUCAAAGGUAGGUGAGUGAAUCAGCCCCAGUUGGAGAGGUCAGCCUUGCAAUAUUUCCACCAUCACUUGCACUUGGAAUACUUGUGAGAAGAGAAGGUUUACAUGGAAAAAUAUUGGAAGGAAAUUAUUUUGGAUCAUACAGCAUGAUAUCUUUGUGCAUGAUGGGUAAUCCUGACUCAUCUACAAUACCAUUUUCAGUGUGUGAAAGGUGCUUGGAGGCCUUUUCCUAUGAAAUACACUUGCUUUUACUACUCCUAGUGAAGAGAAACCACCUCCCUUUAACCUCAACCAGACAAAACCAAAACUCAACAGAAGAAGGGCACUCACGAGCUGGCUCAGCUGCAGUGCUGCUCUCCACGAGUCACAAUUGCUUCUCACCCCCAGCCCACUGCCAACCAUCCAGCCUGCAGCUGUGCCCUCCCACAGGGCCUUCUGGUGAGCAUGAACCUUAACAACUUCAACAAUUAUAGCCCAUAUCCCACAGAAAAUGAG
RNAcentral lists this long non-coding RNA (650 nucleotides) under Parus major (Great Tit). RNAcentral describes it as "lncRNA (ENSPMJG00000012569.1)". Lineage: Eukaryota; Metazoa; Chordata; Aves; Passeriformes; Paridae. The record is from RNAcentral.